RNAcentral lists this ribosomal RNA (466 nucleotides) under uncultured bacterium. RNAcentral's name for it is "bacterial SSU rRNA". It matches the Rfam family "Bacterial small subunit ribosomal RNA", at positions 330 to 794 of the family's 1533-position model. The record is from RNAcentral.
UCCAGACUCCUACGGGAGGCAGCAGUGAGGAAUAUUGGUCAAUGGGCGGGAGCCUGAACCAGCCAAGCCGCGUGAGGGAAGAAGGUACAGCGUAUCGUAAACCUCUUUUGUCAGGGAACAAAGGCGGGGACUAGUCCCCGGAUGAGGGUACCUGAAGAAAAAGCAUCGGCUAACUCCGUGCCAGCAGCCGCGGUAAUACGGAGGAUGCGAGCGUUAUCCGGAUUUAUUGGGUUUAAAGGGUGCGUAGGCGGAAUAUCAAGUCAGCGGUAAAAAUUCGGGGCUCAACCCCGUCGUGCCGUUGAAACUGCAUCCCUUGAGUGCGCGAGAAGUAUGCGGAAUGCGUGGUGUAGCGGUGAAAUGCAUAGAUAUCACGCAGAACCCCGAUUGCGAAGGCAGCAUACCGGUGCACAACUGACGCUCAGGCACGAAAGCGUGGGUAUCGAACAGGAUUAGAUACCCCCGUACA